This 553-nucleotide long non-coding RNA is filed under the name Homo sapiens (human). Its description in RNAcentral is "novel transcript". Lineage: Eukaryota; Metazoa; Chordata; Mammalia; Primates; Hominidae. The record is from RNAcentral.
GAGAUUGUGCACUUCUAAGGAGAUGCCAGGUGGUGCUAAUUCUGCUGCACUGGACACCACACUUAGAGUGGCGAGGUCACUAAAUAAUAGGAGCAAAAGGAUCGUGAGAACACCGACAUCAGUGAGAAGGAGGCUGGCUGCAGAGACCAUGAUCAUAAAUGUGGAAUGAUGGGGACUUUGAGAGAUUUGUAACUGAAGCUGCCUUCAUGCUUGUUAGAAUGGUGGGGUGGAAGAGUUCCCAGUUUUGAAGGAGAAGUACAAGAAGACCCGUAAUGGUUAGCAAGAUAUACAGAACACAGUGGACAUAGCAGCACACUUCUCAAGUCAGGCCCAGAUACAAAGGCAGAUACUGUGUGGGUAAGCGGAAGCGCUUCCGCCUCUGCAACCUGCAGGCCUGCCCCGCUGGCCGCCCCUCCUUCCGCCACGUCCAGUGCAGCCACUUUGACGCUAUGCUCUACGAGGGCCAGCUGCACACAUGGGUGCCCAUGGUCAAUGACGUGAACCCCUGUGAGCUGCACUGCCGGCCCGCGAAUGAGUACUUUGCCGAGAAGCU